Molecule: ribosomal RNA, 270 nt
Filed under: uncultured archaeon
Lineage: Archaea
Description: partial 16S ribosomal RNA
Rfam family: Archaeal small subunit ribosomal RNA
Source: RNAcentral
CAGCACCUCAAGUGGUCAGGAUGAUUAUUGGGCCUAAAGCAUCCGUAGCCGGCUCUGUAAGUUUUCGGUUAAAUCUGUACGCUCAACGUACAGGCUGCCGGGAAUACUGCAGAGCUAGGGAGUGGGAGAGGUAGACGGUACUCGGUAGGAAGGGGUAAAAUCCUUUGAUCUAUUGAUGACCACCUGUGGCGAAGGCGGUCUACCAGAACACGUCCGACGGUGAGGGAUGAAAGCUGGGGGAGCGAUCCGGAUUAGAGACCCGAGUAGUCC